CGCGUCUGAUUAGGUAGUUGGUGCGGUAACGGCGCACCAAGCCGACGAUCAGUAGCCGGCCUGAGAGGGUGACCGGCCACAUUGGGACUGAGACACGGCCCAAACUCCUACGGGAGGCAGCAGUGGGGAAUAUUGGGCAAUGGACGCAAGUCUGACCCAGCAACGCCGCGUGAAGGAAGAAGUAUUUCGGUAUGUAAACUUCUAUCAGCAGGGAAGAACAUGACGGUACCUGACUAAGAAGCCCCGGCUAACUAC
Molecule: ribosomal RNA, 255 nt
Filed under: uncultured bacterium
Lineage: Bacteria
Description: partial 16S ribosomal RNA
Rfam family: Bacterial small subunit ribosomal RNA
Source: RNAcentral